RNAcentral lists this ribosomal RNA (513 nucleotides) under uncultured bacterium. RNAcentral's name for it is "partial 16S ribosomal RNA". It matches the Rfam family "Bacterial small subunit ribosomal RNA", at positions 28 to 523 of the family's 1533-position model. The record is from RNAcentral.
GACGAACGCUGGCGGCAUGCCUAGUACAUGCAAGUCGAGCGAACAGAUGAAGUGCUUGCAUUUCUGACGUUAGCGGCGAACGGGUGAGUAACACGUAAGGAAUCUACCUAUAAGCGGGGGAUAACAUUCGGAAACGGGUGCUAAUACCGCAUAAUAUCUUCUUCCGCAUGGAAGAAGAUUGAAAGACGGCUCUGCUGUCACUUAUAGAUGACCUUGCGGUGCAUUAGUUAGUUGGUGGGGUAAUGGCCUACCAAGACGAUGAUGCAUAGCCGAGCUGAGAGGGUGAUCGGCCACAUUGGGACUGAGACACGGCCCAAACUCCUACGGGAGGCAGCAGUAGGGAAUCUUCCGCAAUGGGCGAAAGCCUGACGGAGCAAUGCCGCGUGAGUGAAGAAGGCCUUCGGGUCGUAAAACUCUGUUAUAAGAGAAGAACAAAUUGUAGAGUAACUGCUACAGUCUUGACGGUAUCUUAUCAGAAAGCCACGGCUAACUACGUGCCAGCCGCCGCCGUAA